Molecule: small nucleolar RNA, 139 nt
Filed under: Ornithorhynchus anatinus (platypus)
Lineage: Eukaryota; Metazoa; Chordata; Mammalia; Monotremata; Ornithorhynchidae
Source: RNAcentral
CACCUCUCAGGAUCACAUCUGGAGAGUUUCCAAUACUCAACCAGUCUCGGCGAUGGGAGGAAAAGCCAAGCAGAGGGCCUACCCAUUCCAUUCCUAGCUUGGGCAGUGGCUAGCAAGUGGAAGGCAAUCUGCUACAAGU